RNAcentral lists this small RNA (16 nucleotides) under Arabidopsis thaliana (thale cress). Lineage: Eukaryota; Viridiplantae; Streptophyta; Magnoliopsida; Brassicales; Brassicaceae. The record is from RNAcentral.
UCUGACCAGUGGUGCU